RNAcentral lists this long non-coding RNA (1018 nucleotides) under Arabidopsis lyrata. Its description in RNAcentral is "long non-coding RNA (ALYR_LNC001828)". Lineage: Eukaryota; Viridiplantae; Streptophyta; Magnoliopsida; Brassicales; Brassicaceae. The record is from RNAcentral.
AAAUUUGUAUCAUUAUAAUCAGCCAAACUAAAAAGAUAAUUGUUUUGCAUCCUUGUGUGAUUACAUGAACAUAGUAAAUCAACAGACAUAGCCUACCAAAAAAAGAUCAACAGAAGACAGAACCAAACACAAACAAUCUAAACAAGAUGGGCUCUUCCACAUGAGACAUUACCGCCAGAUACACACAACCUAGAAUAUGAACAAGCAACGCAAUCGUUCCACUGCAUUUUUAAUCACCAAAACUUUUUUUCCUCGUUGAACCUGUCAAAUAUUUAAACAGACUAGUGUAAGAGGUGGUAAAAUCUCUGGAAAUAUGUAGAUACGGUUGCCGUUUAAACGGUCAAUUUCUUCAGAUUUGCUAUUACAAAACUAAAUCUGAGAAAAUAUUACAAUCUCUGUGAGAGAGAGACAUUAUGCUCAAGUACAGUAACCGACUAACAUGCCAUCAUCACAUGUACAAAUGAUCCAAUAUCAUUACAUGAACUAAGAGUCAAAACCUGAAUUGCUUAUGUUACAAGAAUUCAGGUUACAACCAUAACAUAACCUCUAGAAGAUUCUCUAAUAUGCCAUCAGAUCCCAACAACCAGCUAUUCUCAAAAAAUCAAGUUCCACUAUGAAAAGAGUGUUUAAAGAUGAUUCUAUAAGUAAAACAAUGAAGAGUUCCAAGGACAGACUUGAUAGCAAAUGUGAAGACAAAACUAGGGGAACCAGUAACUAAUUUAUUAGUUAUACUAGAAAAAAAUGUUUUUAAUACCAGUAUUAUUUUAUUUUCUUUUGCCAGAGGGGAAUAAAGAAGAGAAGAUCUAUCUCCUAAAAUCAAUAUGCUGAACAAGGAAAUACCUGAGACAAUAAAGGCUAUAAUUGGUUUUGUUGAUGAUCUCUCUGUUCCAGAUUUCUUACAUGCAUUGUCUACUAUGUGUUGGAUUCUUUUAGAGAGGCUUUUGUAAGUAGCCGCUCUCUUUUUCUCUGCUGCAUUAGUUCCUGGAUUUUGUCGUGUUCCUUCUGCAAAUGAGGAGAG